GUGCACCAGGCGCGAAUCAUCCGCAAUGCGCGCAAGCGUGACGGUGCGACGCCGCGUGCGGGGAGGAAGCCCCUCGGGGUGUAAACCGCUUUUCAGGGGUAUGAAGCGGCUUCGGUGAAUAGCCGGAGUCGUUGACGUCAACCCUGGAAUAAGCCCCUGCUAACUUCGUGCCAGCAGCCGCGGUAAUACGGAGGGGGCAAGCGUUGCUCGGAAUCACUGGGCUUAGAGCGGGCGUAGGCGGUCCGGUCAGUCGGAUGUGAAAGUACCGUCGGCUUAACCGAGGAAGGGCGUCCGAUACUGCCGGGCUUGAGGCAUCC
RNAcentral lists this ribosomal RNA (317 nucleotides) under uncultured microorganism. Its description in RNAcentral is "bacterial SSU rRNA". It matches the Rfam family "Bacterial small subunit ribosomal RNA", at positions 346 to 652 of the family's 1533-position model. The record is from RNAcentral.